GAGCGAACGGGGAGCAGCCCGGAGUCUGAAUCAGCUUGUGUGUUAGUGGAACGGUCUGGAAAGUCCGACGGUACAGGGUGAUAGUCCCGUACACGAAAACACACUUGCUGUGAACUCGAAGAGUAGGGCGGGACACGUGGUAUCCUGUCUGAAUAUGGGGGGACCAUCCUCCAAGGCUAAAUACUCCUGACUGACCGAUAGUGAACC
Molecule: ribosomal RNA, 207 nt
Filed under: Enterobacter hormaechei
Lineage: Bacteria; Pseudomonadati; Pseudomonadota; Gammaproteobacteria; Enterobacterales; Enterobacteriaceae
Description: partial 23S ribosomal RNA
Rfam family: Bacterial large subunit ribosomal RNA
Source: RNAcentral